GACGAACGCUGGCGGCGUGCCUAAUACAUGCAAGUUGAGCGCUGAAGGUUGGUACUUGUACCAACUGGAUGAGCAGCGAACGGGUGAGUAGCGCGUGGGGAAUCUGCCUUUGAGCGGGGGACAACAUUUGGAAACGAAUGCUAAUACCGCAUAAAAACUUUAAACACAAGUUUUAAGUUUGAAAGGUGCAAUUGCAUCACUCAAAGAUGAUCCCGCGUUGUAUUAGCUAGUUGGUGAGGUAAAGGCUCACCAAGGCGAUGAUACAUAGCCGGCCUGAGAGGGUGAUCGGCCACAUUGGGACUGAGACACGGCCCAAACUCCUACGGGAGGCAGCAGUAGGGAAUCUUCGGCAAUGGACGAAAGUCUGACCGAGCAACGCCGCGUGAGUGAAGAAGGUUUUCGGAUCGUAAAACUCUGUUGGUAGAGAAGAACGUUGGUGAGAGUGGAAAGCUCAUCAAGUGACGGUAACUACCCAGAAAGGGACGGCUAACUACGUG
This 497-nucleotide ribosomal RNA is filed under the name uncultured bacterium. RNAcentral's name for it is "partial 16S ribosomal RNA". It matches the Rfam family "Bacterial small subunit ribosomal RNA", at positions 28 to 507 of the family's 1533-position model. The record is from RNAcentral.